GGUUAAGCGAAUAAGCGUACACGGUGGAUGCCUAGGCAAUCAGAGGCGAUGAAGGACGUGCUAAUCUGCGAAAAGCGUCGGUAAGGUGAUAUGAACCGCUAUACCCGACGAUAUCCGAAUGGGGAAACCCAGUAUCCAAUGGAUACUAUCAUUAACUGAAUCCAUAGGUUAAUGAGGCGAACCGGGAGAACUGAAACAUCUCAGUACCCCGAGGAAAAGAAAUCAACCGAGAUUCCCCUAGUAGCGGCGAGCGAACGGGGAGCAGCCCAGAGUC
RNAcentral lists this ribosomal RNA (274 nucleotides) under Proteus mirabilis. RNAcentral describes it as "partial 23S ribosomal RNA". It matches the Rfam family "Bacterial large subunit ribosomal RNA", at positions 1 to 276 of the family's 2925-position model. The record is from RNAcentral. Lineage: Bacteria; Pseudomonadati; Pseudomonadota; Gammaproteobacteria; Enterobacterales; Morganellaceae.